This 788-nucleotide ribosomal RNA is filed under the name uncultured Bacillota bacterium. RNAcentral describes it as "bacterial SSU rRNA". It matches the Rfam family "Bacterial small subunit ribosomal RNA", at positions 72 to 867 of the family's 1533-position model. Lineage: Bacteria; Bacillati; Bacillota. The record is from RNAcentral.
GGAAGUAGCAAUACUUUAGUAAAGCGGCGCACGGGUGAGUAACACGUGGAUAACCUGCCUCGAAGUGGGGAAUAACCCCGGGAAACCGGAGCUAAUACCGCAUAAUCUGACGAGAUCUGUGGAUUUUGUCAGCAAAGGAGCAAUUCGCUUUGAGAGGGGUCCGCGGCUGAUUAGCUAGUUGGUGAGGUAAUGGCUCACCAAGGCCACGAUCAGUAGCCGGUCUGAGAGGACGGUCGGCCACACUGGAACUGAGACACGGUCCAGACUCCUACGGGAGGCAGCAGUGGGGAAUUUUUCGCAAUGGGGGCAACCCUGACGAAGCAACGCCGCGUGGGUGAUGAAGUAUUUCGGUACGUAAAACCCUUUCGACGGGGACGAAACCGCAAGGUUGACGGUACCCGUAGAAGAAGCCCCGGCUAACUCCGUGCCAGCAGCCGCGGUAAUACGGGGGGGGCAAGCGUUGUUCGGAAUUACUGGGCGUAAAGGGCGCGUAGGCGGUUUGCUAAGUUGGAUGUGAAAACUCUGGGCUUAACCCAGAGCCUGCAUCCAAAACUGGCAAACUUGAGUACUGGAGGGGAAAGCGGAAUUCCUGGUGUAGCGGUGAAAUGCGUAGAUAUCAGGAGGAACACCGGUGGCGAAGGCGGCUUUCUGGACAGUAACUGACGCUGAGGCGCGAAAGCUAGGGGAGCAAACAGGAUUAGAUACCCUGGUAGUCCUAGCCCUAAACGAUGGAUACUUGGUGUGAGGGGGAUUGAAUCCCUUCGUGCCGUAGCUAACGCAAUAAGUAU